AAAAUUCUGAGAUUCUGUGAUUCUGUGAUAUAAGAAAAGAUAUAUAAUUCAUGAGUGAAAGUGCUACCACUAAUAAAAAAAAAAAACAAACAAAAACUGCAGCAACAACUAUCAAGUCUGUGCUUUAUAUUCAUGAAAAUAAAUUAUAGCAAAUCUCCCUUCCUGCUGUUUCUUGCCUGCAGGAUGGAGGGCGAUGAAGGAGUCCUUUGGAACACAGGUUCAUUUGUGCAGGUCUGGUGCAAGGGAAAGAAACACAGCAAAGCAAGUUCUCCAGGUACCAAUGUUUUUAGAAACCUUCUAUUCUAGUGGGCUAAAAUCAACCGAGCAACUGCGUCUACUUCAGAUGAGAAAACCAUGGACAGCCUGUAAGCAGUUCCUGAUCUGCUACCCAAAAAUCUGUUCUCUGAUUGGUGUCAUUUCAUCAGCUAUUAAUGAAAGUCACUUGAUUUUCUUCUAAUCUUCCCCAAGACAUUCAGCAUUUUUCUAAUGCUUUUACCUAGGAACUAUCUAUAUAUGAACAAUAGUACAAUUUGUUUGAAUAAAUGUUACCAUUAGUCAGAAUGUGGGAGUUUCACGGACAUUUCUGACUUUUAAGUAGCAAAAUGAAAAUAGAAAAAUUUUGCAGCACACCCUCCUCAAAAACCAACCAAGCAGCAAAAACAGUUUCCACAUCAUUUCAGUUUCUGUUCAUGUGUAUUGACAAAAUGCUCUACAAGAGUUUUAUUUUAUCUGCUCACAUCUUCUCUCUCGUGAAGCCUUCCUCUUCUGUUGAACUACAACUGCCACAGUCUUUUCAGUCUCACUGAGUGGCACAGCCUCUAUCCUGGGUUGCCAGUAAGGCAUGCAGUUGAUGGGGAAAGCCAACCAGCAGAGAAGUAUGAGUGCAAGAAGCUCUCAUAUUAUGAUUUCUGUGAGCCAGGCAUUCUCAAGUGAAUCUCAAACUCUUCUGUUACUUUUUCACAAG
Long non-coding RNA from Gallus gallus (chicken), 964 nucleotides. Lineage: Eukaryota; Metazoa; Chordata; Aves; Galliformes; Phasianidae. The record is from Ensembl.